RNAcentral lists this ribosomal RNA (568 nucleotides) under uncultured Phenylobacterium sp. Its description in RNAcentral is "bacterial SSU rRNA". It matches the Rfam family "Bacterial small subunit ribosomal RNA", at positions 329 to 915 of the family's 1533-position model. The record is from RNAcentral. Lineage: Bacteria; Pseudomonadati; Pseudomonadota; Alphaproteobacteria; Caulobacterales; Caulobacteraceae.
CAGGUCACUCCUACGGGAGGCAGCAGUAGGGAAUCUUGCGCAAUGGGCGAAAGCCUGACGCAGCCAUGCCGCGUGAAUGAUGAAGGUCUUAGGAUUGUAAAAUUCUUUCACCGGGGAAGAUAAUGACGGUACCCGGAGAAGAAGCCCCGGCUAACUUCGUGCCAGCAGCCGCGGUAAUACGAAGGGGGCUAGCGUUGCUCGGAAUUACUGGGCGUAAAGGGCGCGUAGGCGGACAGUUUAGUCAGAGGUGAAAGCCCAGGGCUCAACCUUGGAAUUGCCUUUGAUACUGGCUGUCUUGAGUUCGGGAGAGGUGAGUGGAAUGCCGAGUGUAGAGGUGAAAUUCGUAGAUAUUCGGCGGAACACCAGUGGCGAAGGCGACUCACUGGCCCGAUACUGACGCUGAGGCGCGAAAGCGUGGGGAGCAAACAGGAUUAGAUACCCUGGUAGUCCACGCCGUAAACGAUGAGUGCUAGUUGUCGGCAUGCAUGCAUGUCGGUGACGCAGCUAACGCAUUAAGCACUCCGCCUGGGGAGUACGGUCGCAAGAUUAAAACUCAAAGGAAUUGACG